UGCAAGUCGAACGCUUUGUGGUUCAACUGAUUUGAAGAGCUUGCUCAGAUAUGACGAUGGACAUUGCAAAGAGUGGCGAACGGGUGAGUAACACGUGGGAAACCUACCUCUUAGCAGGGGAUAACAUUUGGAAACAGAUGCUAAUACCGUAUAACAAUGACAACCGCAUGGUUGUUAUUUAAAAGAUGGUUCUGCUAUCACUAAGAGAUGGUCCCGCGGUGCAUUAGCUAGUUGGUAAGGUAAUGGCUUACCAAGGCGAUGAUGCAUAGCCGAGUUGAGAGACUGAUCGGCCACAAUGGGACUGAGACACGGCCCAUACUCCUACGGGAGGCAGCAGUAGGGAAUCUUCCACAAUGGGCGAAAGCCUGAUGGAGCAACGCCGCGUGUGUGAUGAAGGGUUUCGGCUCGUAAAACACUGUUGUAAGAGAAGAAUGACAUUGAGAGUAACUGUUCAAUGUGUGACGGUAUCUUACCAGAAAGGAACGGCUAAAUACGUGCCAGCAGCCGCGGUAAUACGUAUGUUCCAAGCGUUAUCCGGAUUUAUUGGGCGUAAAGCGAGCGCAGACGGUUAUUUAAGUCUGAAGUGAAAGCCCUCAGCUCAACUGAGGAAUUGCUUUGGAAACUGGAUGACUUGAGUGCAGUAGAGGAAAGUGGAACUCCAUGUGUAGCGGUGAAAUGCGUAGAUAUAUGGAAGAACACCAGUGGCGAAGGCGGCUUUCUGGACUGUAACUGACGUUGAGGCUCGAAAGUGUGGGUAGCAAACAGGAUUAGAUACCCUGGUAGUCCACACCGUAAACGAUGAGUGCUAGGUGUUUGAGGGUUUCCGCCCUUAAGUGCCGCAGCUAACGCAUUAAGCACUCCGCCUGGGGAGUACGACCGCAAGGUUGAAACUCAAAGGAAUUGACGGGGACCCGCACAAGCGGUGGAGCAUGUGGUUUAAUUCGAAGCAACGCGAAGAACCUUACCAGGUCUUGACAUCCCUUGACAACUCCAGAGAUGGAGUGUUCCCUUCGGGGACAAGGUGACAGGUGGUGCAUGGUUGUCGUCAGCUCGUGUCGUGAGAUGUUGGGUUAAGUCCCGCAACGAGCGCAACCCUUAUUACUAGUUGCCAGCAUUCAGUUGGGCACUCUAGUGAGACUGCCGGUGACAAACCGGAGGAAGGUGGGGAUGACGUCAAAUCAUCAUGCCCCUUAUGACCUGGGCUACACACGUGCUACAAUGGCGUAUACAACGAGUUGCCAACCCGCGAGGGUGAGCUAAUCUCUUAAAGUACGUCUCAGUUCGGAUUGUAGGCUGCAACUCGCCUACAUGAAGUCGGAAUCGCUAGUAAUCGCGGAUCAGCACGCCGCGGUGAAUACGUUCCCGGGUCUUGUACACACCGCCCGUCACACCAUGAGAGUUUGUAACACCCAAAGCCGGUGGGGUAACCUUCGGGAGCCAGCCGUCU
This 1447-nucleotide ribosomal RNA is filed under the name Weissella paramesenteroides. RNAcentral describes it as "bacterial SSU rRNA". It matches the Rfam family "Bacterial small subunit ribosomal RNA". Lineage: Bacteria; Bacillati; Bacillota; Bacilli; Lactobacillales; Lactobacillaceae. The record is from RNAcentral. RNAcentral also lists the same sequence under 1 other name.